Molecule: long non-coding RNA, 553 nt
Organism: Oncorhynchus tshawytscha (Chinook salmon)
Lineage: Eukaryota; Metazoa; Chordata; Actinopteri; Salmoniformes; Salmonidae
Source: Ensembl
CCGCGCGCUAUUUCAUGACGUAAUGCAACUAUUAGCACCAACAGUCUGCCUGCUAAUUUUCCCCCUAAUAUCUACUGUUGCCAUUGUUUGAGAUUUAGGAUUGAUGGGACCACAUGUGCUCUGGGAUUUGUCUAAGGUGUUUAAAAUACAUCGAAAGGGUUAGGGUUCAGAGGCCAGUAGUGGAGACUGUGUGUGUUUGACACCACUGUCCUCCAGGCUCCUGGACGCCUCAGGAGGGGGCAGGAUGUGAUGUCACAGCGGCGCUCCCUUCUUCCUGUCCGGCGGUGUGUGUGAGAGAGGUGGAGGCUCCACCUAGAUUAACAGGAGAGAUGUUUGAGGUGAAACCCCGUGGUGUGGAGAAGAAGGGCGGAAGCACAGAGACUGGUGAGUGAAGAGGAAUGGGGAGAAGAGUGGAGGAGAUACUGAGGAGAGAGGUAAACAGGAGGAGAGGGGGCAGUAGAUACUGAGGAGAGAGGUAAACAGGAGGAGAGGGGGCGGUAGAUACUGAGGAGAGAGGUAAACAGGAGGAGAGGGGGCGGUAGAUACUGAGGAG